RNAcentral lists this ribosomal RNA (729 nucleotides) under uncultured eukaryote. Its description in RNAcentral is "SSU rRNA". It matches the Rfam family "Eukaryotic small subunit ribosomal RNA", at positions 670 to 1426 of the family's 1831-position model. The record is from RNAcentral.
CGGGUGCACUGAUCCGGCCGGGCCUUUCCCUCUGUGGAACCCCAUGGCCUUCACUGGCUGUGCGGGGGAAACAGGACUUUUACUGUGAAAAAAUUAGAGUGCUCCAGGCAGGCCUAUGCUCGAAUACAUUAGCAUGGAAUAAUAGAAUAGGACGCGUGGUUCUAUUUUGUUGGUUUCUAGGACCGCCGUAAUGAUUAAUAGGGACAGUCGGGGGCAUCAGUAUUCAAUUGUCAGAGGUGAAAUUCUUGGAUCUAUUGAAGACUAACUACUGCGAAAGCAUUUGCCAAGGAUGUUUUCAUUGAUAAGGAACGAAAGUUAGGGGAUCGAAGACGAUCAGAUACCGUCGUAGUCUUAACUAUAAACUAUGCCGACUAGGGAUCGGACGAUGUUAUUUCUUGACGCGUUCGGCACCUUUCGAGAAAUCAAAGUGCUUGGGCUCCAGGGGGAGUAUGGUCGCAAGGCUGAAACUUAAAGAAAUUGACGGAAGGGCACCACCAGGGGUGGAACCUGCGGCUUAAUUUGACUCAACACGGGGAAACUCACCAGGUCCAGACACAGUGAGGAUUGACAGAUUGAGAGCUCUUUCUUGAUUCUGUGGGUGGUGGUGCAUGGCCGUUCUUAGUUGGUGGAGUGAUUUGUCUGCUUAAUUGCGAUAACGAACGAGACCUUAACCUGCUAAAUAGCCCGUACUGCUCUGGCAGUUCGCCGGCUUCUUAGAGGGACUAUCGG